GCGGGGGUGCCAGAGUGGUCAAAUGGGCUAGGUUGAGGGCCUAGUAGCUUAGUGCUUGCGCGGGUUCAAACCCCGUCCCCCGCA
This 84-nucleotide transfer RNA is filed under the name Candidatus Woesearchaeota archaeon. Its description in RNAcentral is "tRNA-Leu". It matches the Rfam family "tRNA". Rfam says of the family: Transfer RNA (tRNA) molecules are approximately 80 nucleotides in length. Their secondary structure includes four short double-helical elements and three loops (D, anti-codon, and T loops). The record is from RNAcentral. Lineage: Archaea; Nanobdellati; Candidatus Woesearchaeota.